This 1359-nucleotide long non-coding RNA is filed under the name Oryza brachyantha (malo sina). RNAcentral describes it as "long non-coding RNA (OBRA_LNC001263)". Lineage: Eukaryota; Viridiplantae; Streptophyta; Magnoliopsida; Poales; Poaceae. The record is from RNAcentral.
CCUUUUAAAGUCUACACUCUAAAGUCUUUGGACAUAGUUCACGUUAUCAGAUCUUAGAGAAUGUUCUAAUUUUGAUCGAUGUCGAUGGUCUCAAUUGUUAUAGUUCUUGUUGUCAGAGUAUAUAGAUGAUUCUUUUCCAAUAGUAGAGUGAUAUUGGCACAUAGUAUAUACUUAUAGAAAAUUACUAGAAACUAGAUAAAUGCUUGUUGGGUUGAGAUACAAAUUUUAUUUUGAAAACUACUUAUCUUGGUUACAUGACUAACUACUCUUAUCAACAAUUUACUUCAUUUAUUUCUCGGUUAAACAAGUUAUCUAUGUGCUAAUACAUGAGCUAUCAAGAGAUUUCAAGAGAAUAUGAAGAAGGAGAACGAUGAAAUAACUAGUCUGCUUACUGCCGUGGGAUGCAACCUCGUGGGCUCUGCUAAUGGAAAAACAAGUAUGUUUCUCUAAUAAAUUUGCUCUGAGAUUAAAUUUUUUAUUAAUUACUAAUUAAUAUUAUUCUUGCCAUAAGUUCUUCACUUUGUGUAUGUCAACAAGAGCGAAAGAACUUUUCAUACAUUACACUGAUAAGCGAAAUGACAACAUGAAGAGGCUCUAAGCGAAUCGUUUCUUGGAUGUAGCUUGCUUGGUUCUACAAGGACAAGUGAGUUUUCCGCCCUCUGUUUGCUGCUUUAAAUUUUGAUUUGGACUUGCUAGGGACUAAUCUAGAUUGUUCAUUUACAGUACUAGAUUUUACAGAUGCACCCAUCAUAAAAAGAUCUAUUCACCACUUCAAGAACCAGCAACAGAGAUCACAGAGAAACAAAAGAACUAAUAGGGCUAAACACAUGAUAAAAAAUGAGCAGACUGAAGAUGAAGAUGAGAAGAGUAACAUCUUUGACAAAGCAUACAAGAAGUAUCUAGAUAAUCCUAAACGGAUAAUUUCUUGUAAGUAUUAGAAGAACGAUGAUGGCUCCAGUAUCAAAUAGAUUCUGACGAACCAAACGGUUAUGAGGGAUCAAAGUGUGCUUUGUGAUGGAAAAUUGACGAACUUUGCAUGCUUUUAAGAAACAGAGCUUUAAGAGAAACCAAAAAGUUACGAGAAGAUACACAUGAUCGAUCCUAAAAACACGACGAAAAGAUGACAACAACAAUGUUAUCAUCUCAGAUAUCAAGAGGCUCAAGAGAAAGGAUACCAAAUCUGCUAAAGACACUAAUGAGUGGAAAAAACACUGUUACGAGAUCAGAUAGCAUCAAUAUGUUUAAGGGAACGAUAUCAAAUCUGUUAUAGUGACUGACGAGAAGGAGGACAACAAAACUAUUACGAGAUCAGAUAGCAUCAAUAGGUUUAAGGGAAAUGAUCCAAAUUUGAUAUAGUGA